GCCUAGAGCCGUGUUGUUCGUAGCUGGA
This 28-nucleotide non-coding RNA is filed under the name Homo sapiens (human). Lineage: Eukaryota; Metazoa; Chordata; Mammalia; Primates; Hominidae. The record is from RNAcentral.